Molecule: ribosomal RNA, 482 nt
Filed under: uncultured bacterium
Lineage: Bacteria
Description: partial 16S ribosomal RNA
Rfam family: Bacterial small subunit ribosomal RNA
Source: RNAcentral
AGUGAACGUUGGCGGCGUGGAUUAGGCAUGCAAGUCGAGCGAGAACCGUAGCAAUACGGGGACAGCGGCGAAAGGGACAGUAAUGUGUAGGUACCUACCCCGAGGUCUGGGAUAGCUGCGGGAAACUGCAGGUAAUACCGGAUAAUGUCUUCGGACCAAAGGUGUGAUUCCACCUUGGGAGGGGCCUGCAUCCUAUUAGCUUGUUGGCGGGGUAACGGCCCACCAAGGCGACGAUGGGUAGCGGGUGUGAGAGCACGACCCGCGUCAUUGGGACUGAGACACUGCCCAGACACCUACGGGUGGCUGCAGUCGAGGAUCUUCGGCAAUGGGCGCAAGCCUGACCGAGCGACGCCGCGUGCGGGAUGAAGGCCUUCGGGUUGUAAACCGCUGUCGUAGGGGAGGAAAUGCAGGUGGGUUCUCCCUCCUGUUUGACCUAUCCUAGGAGGAAGUACGGGCUAAGUUCGUGCCAGCCGCCGCGGUAA